AACGAACGCUGGCGGCAUGCCUAACACAUGCAAGUCGAACGAGACCUUCGGGUAUAGUGGCGCACGGGUGCGUAACGCGUGGGAACCUGCCCUUAGGUUCGGAAUAACUCCCCGAAAGGGGUGCUAAUACCGGAUAAUGUCUUCGGACCAACGAUUUAUCGCCAUUGGAUGGGCCCGCGUUGGAUUAGCUAGUUGGUAGGGUAAAAGCCUACCAAGGCGACGAUCCAUAGCUGGUCUGAGAGGAUGAUCAGCCACACUGGGACUGAGACACGGCCCAGACUCCUACGGGAGGCAGCAGUGGGGAAUAUUGGACAAUGGGCAAAAGCCUGAUCCAGCAAUGCCGCGUGAGUGAUGAAGGCCUUAGGGUUGUAAAGCUCUUUUACCCGGGAUGAUAAUGACAGUACCGGGAGAAUAAGCUCCGGCUAACUCCGUG
This 433-nucleotide ribosomal RNA is filed under the name uncultured bacterium. RNAcentral's name for it is "partial 16S ribosomal RNA". It matches the Rfam family "Bacterial small subunit ribosomal RNA", at positions 29 to 507 of the family's 1533-position model. The record is from RNAcentral.